UCCUCAGGUAGGAUAAUCCUUACCUGUCCCUCCUUUCGGAGGGCAGAUUGGAACAUGGUGAUUGGAGAUCGCAUGAUUCGUGAUUAAUGUAUACAAGAAGAGUAUAAAUGCAUAAGGUUAGAAGGUAUGUUGACUUACUAAA
RNAcentral lists this small nucleolar RNA (142 nucleotides) under Myotis davidii. Its description in RNAcentral is "U8 small nucleolar RNA". It matches the Rfam family "U8 small nucleolar RNA". From Rfam's summary of the family: U8 is a member of the C/D class of snoRNA which contain the C (UGAUGA) and D (CUGA) box motifs. The record is from Rfam by way of RNAcentral. Lineage: Eukaryota; Metazoa; Chordata; Mammalia; Chiroptera; Vespertilionidae.